This 268-nucleotide unclassified non-coding RNA is filed under the name plant metagenome. RNAcentral describes it as "partial contains small subunit ribosomal RNA, internal transcribed spacer 1, and 5.8S ribosomal RNA". The record is from RNAcentral.
UUUCCGUAGGUGAACCUGCGGAAGGAUCAUUAUCGUACAAAAUGUGAGGGGCAUGCGAGGGCUGUCGCUGACCCACAAGUCGUGCACGCCCGAGUGUGUCCUCUUGCAUAAUAAUCCAUCUCAUCCUUUGUGCAUCACCGCGUGGGCACCCUUCGGGAUCAUCUCGGAGGGGGGCUCGCGUUUUCACACAAACCCCCCCUUUUAAAAGUGUAGAAUGACCACAUUUAUGCAAUCAAUACAACUUUCAACAACGGAUCUCUUGGCUCUC